Molecule: transfer RNA, 74 nt
Filed under: Flavobacteriaceae bacterium
Lineage: Bacteria; Pseudomonadati; Bacteroidota; Flavobacteriia; Flavobacteriales; Flavobacteriaceae
Description: tRNA-Asn
Rfam family: tRNA
About the family: Transfer RNA (tRNA) molecules are approximately 80 nucleotides in length.
Source: RNAcentral
UCCUUCUUAGCUCAGUUGGUUAGAGCAUCUGACUGUUAAUCAGAGGGUCCUUGGUUCGAGCCCAAGAGGAGGAG